Molecule: ribosomal RNA, 447 nt
Filed under: uncultured bacterium
Lineage: Bacteria
Description: bacterial SSU rRNA
Rfam family: Bacterial small subunit ribosomal RNA
Source: RNAcentral
UCGGGAAUUUUGGGCAAUGGGCGAAAGCCUGACCCAGCAACGCCGCGUGAAGGAUGAAGUAUUUCGGUAUGUAAACUUCGAAAGAAUAGGAAGAAUAAAUGACGGUACUAUUUAUAAGGUCCGGCUAACUACGUGCCAGCAGCCGCGGUAAUACGUAGGGACCAAGCGUUGUUCGGAUUUACUGGGCGUAAAGGGCGCGUAGGCGGCAAUUCAAGUCAUCUGUGAAAUCUCCGGGCUUAACUCGGAACGGUCAGAUGAUACUGCUUUGCUAGAGUGCAGAAGGGGCAAUCGGAAUUCUUAGUGUAGAGGUGAAAUUCGUAGAUAUUGGGAAGAACACCAGUGGCGAAGGCGGCUAACUGGUCCGGUACUGACGCUGAGGUGCGAAAGCGUGGGGAGCAAACAGGAUUAGAUACCCGUGUAGUCCCUGAGCGGGCUGGCAAGGCGCAU